Ornithorhynchus anatinus (platypus) is the source of this 870-nucleotide long non-coding RNA. RefSeq lists it as uncharacterized. Lineage: Eukaryota; Metazoa; Chordata; Mammalia; Monotremata; Ornithorhynchidae. The record is from RefSeq and is a predicted model, not a curated record. The transcript has 3 exons.
CGGCGACGGCGCUUCGGCUGUUUCCGGAGGGGGGCGCCCCUUCGGUGAGUUCCGGCGGCGACGCUUCGGCUGUUUCCGGCGGGGGCUCUUCGGCAAGUUCCGGCGACCCCGAUCGGAAAUGGCCGAGCGCGCUGGCUGAUUGACGCCUGCCUGGCUGGGGAGCGAAGGGAGCCGGCGGGCCGGAGGGCUGCGGGGAGGAGGAGGCGGCGGGGGCGGCCGGUCCCCGGGCAGGACGGCGGCGUUGGAGAGGUCCUGAGGAGCGGCGGCGGCGGCGGCGGCGGCGGCGGCGGCCCCCAAGGUGGCGGCCUCCUUGCGGACCGGCGCCCCCCGGGUGGAGCGGGGCGUGAUGCCGCCGGCCCGGAGCUGAGGGCCGGGACCCCGAGGGCACGGCGACAUCCGGGUCGGGCCGGGCGGCCAGCCUCUGUUCGCGGGCAGCCCCGAGGGGCCGGGGGGAGGGGUUUGCCGGCUCCUCCCGGGCGGGCGAUGGAAACGGCCGGCCGCGCCGGACCGGAGCCGGGGCAUCCGCGCACGCGCGCCUGAGCCCGGCACCGCCCCCGGACCUCGCCGCCGUCUCGCCACGCCGAUGACGUGACGCCGCCCGCGGGCUGAGGCGGCCCGGGGGCGCGCGCGUGCCCCGGUCGGCCGUCGGACCCCACCCGCCCCGGGCCCGGCGGAGGGGGCGGGGGCGCGGACCGGCCCCGCGCGGGCCGGGACCAUGAAAUUCCCGUUCUACCGGCGCCCCGGGGAGACGGCUCAGUAGCGCGGGUCCGGCGGCGGCGAGCCCCCGGCCCGGGAUCAUGGCCCCCGAGCCGCCGUGACCGGGCGGGGCGACGGCCGCGCUGGGCCCGGGGCCGGGCUGGACCAUGUGGC